This 411-nucleotide RNase P RNA is filed under the name Gammaproteobacteria bacterium. RNAcentral's name for it is "RNase P RNA component class A". It matches the Rfam family "Bacterial RNase P class A". Rfam says of the family: Ribonuclease P (RNase P) is a ubiquitous endoribonuclease, found in archaea, bacteria and eukarya as well as chloroplasts and mitochondria. Its best characterised activity is the generation of mature 5'-ends of tRNAs by cleaving the 5'-leader elements of precursor-tRNAs. Lineage: Bacteria; Pseudomonadati; Pseudomonadota; Gammaproteobacteria. The record is from RNAcentral.
GGAGUUGGCUAGACAGUCGCUCUGGUGUUAACUACGUAAUUCUCUUGAGUAUUGCGCGGUGCAUCGGGGAGGAAAGUCCGGGCUCCAUAGGGUAGAGCGCCAGGUAACGCCUGGGAGGUGUGAGCCUACGGAAAGUGCAACAGAAAGCAAACCGCCUAAGUUCAAGGUGCCUGAUCGCUUUAGCGUGAUGGCAAACCAGAACUGGUAAGGGUGAAAGGGUGCGGUAAGAGCGCACCGCGCGGCUGGUAACAGUCCGUGGCAUGGUAAACCCCGCUCGGAGCAAGACCAAAUAGGAAUCCUUCAGGUGUGGCCCGCACUGGAUUCGGGUAGGUUGCUUGAGGUAUGCGGUGACGCAUAUCCCAGAUGAAUGACUGUUCUCGACAGAACCCGGCUUAUCGGCCAACUCCACCU